Equus asinus (donkey) is the source of this 1784-nucleotide long non-coding RNA. The record is from Ensembl. NCBI's taxonomy places the organism in Eukaryota, Metazoa, Chordata, Mammalia, Perissodactyla, Equidae.
CCAGGAUCCGAACCAGCAAAACCCUGGACCGCCGCAGCAGAGCACGCGAACUUAACCGCUUGGCCACAGGGCCAUCCCCAUGUUGAGUCUUAAAUCUAGGUAGCUGGAGUUUCUGCAGGCCUUUCACGCCUGAGGGUACAAAACGGUGCCCUUAAUGCCAUUAUCUCUGUGGCUGUUCCUACCUGGUCUAUACGGCACAGGGACUCCUGCCCCCUCGUGGCCAGUGUGGAUUCUGCACACUCCUAGGAGCUAAGUGACACAGAAUUCUGUUGGGUGCGGAGCAGCAUCAGGCUUGAAACCUAGAUCAGGUGUUUAUCUUGUUGACACCCAUACAGGAGUAAUAAAAAGAAGAUACACCCAUAUAUAUAUACUGGCAAAAUCCCUGAGGUCCAUGGGUCAAGGGAGAAGCAUACAAGUUUUCACACUGAAGGAAGGGGCUAUUUGCCAAAAGGAAAGCAAAUAAAACCAGCAUUAGAAUUCUCAUUUGCUACACUGAAAACUAGAAGACAGUGGAACGAUAUCUACAAACUGAAGAGAGAAACUGCAGCUAACAGCCAAGAAUCCUGUUCGCAGGCAGAAUGUUAAUUCAUCUUUUGGGGCAAAAGAAAGACAAUUUUAGACACUCAAGUGCUCAAUACAUUGCCUAUGGAUCCUAGCUGAGGAAAGUACUUAAAUUUCUCCAAUCAGCUGAUAAUUAUAUUAGAAAAGAGAUCUCAAUAUUGGGCAGAUGAAGAGUACAGUACCUCUUGUGAACAAUUAAUUCUGUAAUACAUAUAUCAACGGAUAAUUUAUUCAUUCAACAAUUUGAGCGCCAUGCUCAGCAGCAACUCUUGGAGCUGAUAGUAUGUUAUAAUAUUAAUGAGAUAAGAAAUACAUGAUGUAAAUGUUUAGUAAGGAGUUGUCAAAUGCAAGAUACACUUUAGAGCAGCUGGGCAGGAAGAGCCAAUGGGAAAAUGAGGAAGUAAAAUUACAAUUUCUAAAAUUUUCCUCUAGGUGAAGGGGUGGGGGUGUUAGUGGGUAAAAUGUUUUGAGAAACAUAUUUCUUGAUCAAUUUUGAAAUGUUACUAGAGGAAUACAGAUUUCAUCAUAACUAUUAGGUAUGAAAAUGGAAACACCAGCAUCAUGGAGACAAAUGUUAGAACUGCCAAAUUAACAGGAGGGCAAAAAAGGAAUGAAGAGAAACUUUUCCAAGCCAAUUCAAAGAAAAAGAAUCAACAAGAUAAGAUAUAAAAUAAACAGAAAUAAAUGGAUAGAAUAAAGCACAAGAUUCUAGUUCAAUAAUAAUUGCAUAAGAACUCAAUUCUCCUAUUUAAAAAAACAAAGACAACAGAUUGAGUUUUUAAAAAUCUACCUAUUGGGGCCGGCCCCGUGGCCGAGUGGUUAAGUUCUCGCGCUCUACUGCAGUGGCCCAGGAUCUCGCCGGUUCAAAUCCUGGGCGCAGACAUGGCACCAGUCGUCAGGCCACGUUGAGGAGGAGUCCCACAUGCCACAACUAGGAGGACUCACAACUGAAAAUACACAACUAUGUACCAGGGGGGAUUUGGGGAGAUAAAGCAGGAAAAAAAAAAAAGGAUUGGCAACAGUUGUUAGCUCAGGUGCCAAUCUUUAAAAAAAAAAAAAAAAUCUACGUAUUAUUUGCAUUGGAAAGUGUUAAAGAAGAGUUGAAAACAAAGGAAUGGGUAGAUAUAGAUUGUAUAAAUACAAACAAAAAGAAAGCAGGAACGGGAUAUUAUCAUCAGAUAAAAUUGAAAUCAAGGCCACAUACAUGAAAAAGUACAAAAAGG